Molecule: ribosomal RNA, 253 nt
Filed under: uncultured bacterium
Lineage: Bacteria
Description: partial 16S ribosomal RNA
Rfam family: Bacterial small subunit ribosomal RNA
Source: RNAcentral
UACAGAGGUCUCAAGCGUUGUUCGGACUCAUUGGGCGUAAAGGGUGUGUAGGUGGCGCGCUAAGUCGGGUGUGAAAUUUCGGAGCUUAACUCCGAAACUGCAUUCGAUACUGGCGUGCUUGAGGACUGGAGAGGAGACUGGAAUUCAUGGUGUAGCAGUGAAAUGCGUAGAGAUCAUGAGGAAGACCAGUGGCGAAGGCGGGUCUCUGGACAGUUCCUGACACUGAGACACGAAGGCCAGGGGAGCAAACGGG